This 253-nucleotide ribosomal RNA is filed under the name uncultured bacterium. RNAcentral's name for it is "partial 16S ribosomal RNA". It matches the Rfam family "Bacterial small subunit ribosomal RNA", at positions 524 to 776 of the family's 1533-position model. The record is from RNAcentral.
UACAGGGGGUGCAAACGUUGCUCGGAAUUAUUGGGCGUAAAGCGCGCGUAGGCGGCUACUUAAGUCGGAUGUGAAAGCCCUUGGCUCAACUGAGGAAGUGCACCCGAAACUGAGUGGCUAGAGUACGAAAGAGGGUCGCGGAAUUCCCGGUGUAGAGGUGAAAUUCGUAGAUAUUCGCAAGAACACCAGUGGCGAAGGCGGCUCACUGGCCCGAUACUGACGCUGAGGCACGAAAGCGUGGGGAGCAAACAGG